This 460-nucleotide ribosomal RNA is filed under the name uncultured Pelotomaculum sp. RNAcentral describes it as "bacterial SSU rRNA". It matches the Rfam family "Bacterial small subunit ribosomal RNA", at positions 923 to 1382 of the family's 1533-position model. The record is from RNAcentral. Lineage: Bacteria; Bacillati; Bacillota; Clostridia; Eubacteriales; Desulfotomaculaceae.
GCACAAGCGGUGGAGCAUGUGGUUUAAUUCGACGCAACGCGAAGAACCUUACCAGGGCUUGACAUCCCCUGACCGCGUAUGAAAGUACGUUUUCACCCUCGGGUGACAGGGAGACAGGUGGUGCAUGGUUGUCGUCAGCUCGUGUCGUGAGAUGUUGGGUUAAGUCCCGCAACGAGCGCAACCCCUACGUUUAGUUGCUAACGCGUGAAGGCGAGCACUCUAGACGAACUGCCGUUGACAAAACGGAGGAAGUGGGAUGACGUCAAAUCAUCAUGCCCCUUAUGUUCUGGGCUACACACGUGCUACAAUGGCCGGUACAGACGGACGCAAAGCCGCGAGGUGGAGCAAAUCCUAAAAAGCCGGUCUCAGUUCGGAUUGCAGGCUGCAAUUCGCCUGCAUGAAGUCGGAAUCGCUAGUAAUCGCAGGUCAGCAUACUGCGGUGAAUACGUUCCCGGGCCUU